RNAcentral lists this ribosomal RNA (429 nucleotides) under Actinomycetes bacterium. RNAcentral's name for it is "Actinobacteria bacterium partial 16S ribosomal RNA". It matches the Rfam family "Bacterial small subunit ribosomal RNA", at positions 355 to 776 of the family's 1533-position model. Lineage: Bacteria; Bacillati; Actinomycetota; Actinomycetes. The record is from RNAcentral.
UAGGGAAUCUUCCGCAAUGGGCGAAAGCCUGACGGAGCAACGCCGCGUGAGUGAUGAAGGUCUUCGGAUCGUAAAACUCUGUUAUCAGGGAAGAACAAAUGUGUAAGUAACUAUGCACGUCUUGACGGUACCUAAUCAGAAAGCCACGGCUAACUACGUGCCAGCAGCCGCGGUAAUACGUAGGUGGCAAGCGUUAUCCGGAAUUAUUGGGCGUAAAGCGCGCGUAGGCGGUUUUUUAAGUCUGAUGUGAAAGCCCACGGCUCAACCGUGGAGGGUCAUUGGAAGCUGGAAAACUUGAGUGCAGAAGAGGAAAGUGGAAUUCCAUGUGUAGCGGUGAAAUGCGCAGAGAUAUGGAGGAACACCAGUGGCGAAGGCGACUUUCUGGUCUGUAACUGACGCUGAUGUGCGAAAGCGUGGGGAUCAAACAGG